GAUGAAGAACGCAGCGAAAUGCGAUAAGUAAUGCGAAUUGCAGAAUUCCAGUGAGUCAUCGAAUCUUUGAACGCACAUUGCGCCCCUUGGUAUCCCGAGGGGCAUGCCUGUUCGAGCGUCAUUUCACCACUCAAGCCUGGCUUGGUGUUGGGCGACGUCCCCUUUGGGGACGCGCCUCGAAACGCUCGGCGGCGUGGCACCGGCUUUAAGCGUAGCAGAAUCUUUCGCUUUGGAAGUCGGGGCCCCGUCUGCCGGAAGACCUACUCGCAAGGUUGACCUCGGAUCAGGCAGGGAUACCCGCUGAACUUAAGCAUAUCAAUAAGCGGAGGA
Molecule: unclassified non-coding RNA, 330 nt
Filed under: soil metagenome
Description: partial contains 5.8S ribosomal RNA, internal transcribed spacer 2, and large subunit ribosomal RNA
Rfam family: 5.8S ribosomal RNA (bases 1-121)
Source: RNAcentral